This 1345-nucleotide ribosomal RNA is filed under the name metagenome. RNAcentral describes it as "bacterial SSU rRNA". It matches the Rfam family "Bacterial small subunit ribosomal RNA", at positions 8 to 1326 of the family's 1533-position model. The record is from RNAcentral.
AGAGUUUGAUCCUGGCUCAGAACUAACGCUUGUGGCGUGUCUUAGUCAUGCAAGUCGAACGAGAAAGCUCUCUUCGGAGGGUGAGUAGAGUGGCGAACGGGUGAGUAACACGUGGGUAACCUGCCUUUCAGUUGGGGAUAACACUCCUAACGGGGUGCUAAUACCGGAUAAUAAGGUGCGACAUAAGUUGUCGCCUUCAAAGGUGGCCUCUGAUUCAAGCUGCCGCUGGAAGAUGGGCCCGCGCCGUAUUAGCUUGUUGGUAGGGUAAUGGCCUACCAAGGCGACGAUGCGUAGCCGGCCUGAGAGGGUGAUCGGCCACACUGGAACUGAGACAAGGUCCAGUCCCCUACGGGGGCCAGCAGUCUAGAAACUUGCACAAUCAACGAAAGUUGGAUGCAGCGACGCCACGUGGAGGAUGAAGCCCCUCGGGGUGUAAACUCCUGUCAGGAGGGAAGAAGGUGCGACCGUUAAUAGCGGUCGUUGCUUGACGGUACCUCCAGAGGAAGCUCCGGCUAACUACGUGCCAGCAGCCGCGGUAAUACGUAGGGAGCGAGCGUUGUUCGGAUUUACUGGGCGUAAAGGGCAGGUAGGCGGACGCGUAAGUCGGUUGUGAAAUCCUCUGGCUUAACCAGAGAAUUGCAGCCGAAACUACACGUCUUGAGUCCAGCAGAGGGAAUCGGAAUCCUAGGUGUAGCGGUGAAAUGCGUAGAUAUCUAGGAGAACACCAGUGGCGAAGGCGGAUUCCUGGGCUGGCACUGACGCUGAGCUGCGAAAGCGUGGGUAGCGAACAGGAUUAGAUACCCUGGUAGUCCACGCCGUAAACGAUGGGUACUAGGUGUUGGAGGACAUUGACCCCUUCAGUGCCGUAGCUAACGCAUUAAGUACCCCGCCUGGGGAGUACGGCCGCAAGGCUGAAACCCAAAGGAAUUGACGGGGACCCGCACAAGCAGUGGAGCAUGUGGCUCAAUUCGAGGCAACGCGAAGAACCUUACCUGGGCUUGACAUCUGGGGAAUUCUUUGGAAACAGAGAAGUGCCUUCGGGAGCCCCAAGACAGGUGCUGCAUGGCUGUCGUCAGCUCGUGUCGUGAGAUGUUGGGUUAAGUCCCGCAACGAGCGCAACACUUGUCCUUAGUUGCCAGCGGGUAAUGCCGGGAACUCUAGGGAUACUGCCUGUUUCAAGCAGGAGGAAGGUGGGGAUGACGUCAAGUCAUCAUGGCUCUUACGUCCAGGGCUGCACACGUGCUACAAUGGCUGGUACAAUGGGCUGCGAUACCGCGAGGUGGAGCCAAUCCCAAAAAAACCAGUCUCAGUUCGGAUUGAAGUCUGCAACUCGACUUCAUGAAGU